This 857-nucleotide long non-coding RNA is filed under the name Pan troglodytes (chimpanzee). RNAcentral describes it as "long non-coding RNA NONPTRT002584". The record is from RNAcentral. Lineage: Eukaryota; Metazoa; Chordata; Mammalia; Primates; Hominidae.
UGUUAAUUCCUCUUUCCCUUUUUUGAAAGCCACUCUUGUUUCCUCCAACCUUACAACCCCAUCUGGACAAACUCGCCCCCCUUUCUCCCUUUCAAACCAUUAUCCACACCUUUGCCACAUUCAUCCUUAGGGAAUUCCUUGUAUUAGAAGAGAACAAUAGCUACUUUCUACAGCUCUGAACAACCCAGGAAGACUAUUUCAGACUAUGCAUCUCAGAGAUAUAAAAAUUGGUAAGAUAUAGAAGAGAUGACAUUGAACUCUGUAAGGUCUAAUUCUGGCUCAGUUACAUACUAACUGUGUUACUUUGGACAAGCCACUUAUGAUUAUAUUAUACAAUGGUUGAACAACCAUUUGUUAAUGUCCUUCCAUCACAUAAUUACUUCUGUAAAGAGAGACUAACCCUAUAGUCUAAAAUUGUAUGUGAAAUAAAAAGGAAGAGGUAAAGCAUCUUAAGGCUUCAUAAAGGGGGUGGAGGUGGAAACUUCAAAUGGAUGGUUUGCUUCUUUUAAACUCAACUGAAAAAUCUUAAUUAAAAAUAACUUUAUUACAAAAUAAUUAACUGUGGCUGAGCCCUUGGGUCUCCCCUCUCUAGAACCUGGCAUGAAAGUUCACAUGUAGGACAUGUCCAUUAGUAUAGUACAUAUAUUGGUAUGAGGAAGGAGAAGAGAAAUGAAGCAUACCGAAGUCAGCUAACAACAAUAAUACUGUGUUAUUCCAUCCAUUCCAUCAGGUAAAAUUUUCUUUUAAAGGAGGCGACACCUUCAGUAUCAUGCUAGGUACGUCCUUUCUCCCCAUCUUUCCUCUCACUAAAAUUUAGAAAUGGAAUCUACAUCCUUUCUUACUAGCCUUUCCCAAAG